This 468-nucleotide ribosomal RNA is filed under the name uncultured bacterium. RNAcentral's name for it is "partial 16S ribosomal RNA". It matches the Rfam family "Bacterial small subunit ribosomal RNA", at positions 28 to 507 of the family's 1533-position model. The record is from RNAcentral.
GACGAACGCUGGCGGCGUGCUUAACACAUGCAAGUCGAACGGAAAGGCCCAGCUUUUGUGGGGUACUCGAGUGGCGAACGGGUGAGUAACACGUGAGUAACCUGCCCUUGACUUUGGGAUAACUUCAGGAAACUGGGGCUAAUACCGGAUAGGAGCUCCUGAUGCAUGGUGGGGGUUGGAAAGUUUCGGCGGCUGGGGAUGGACUCGCGGCUUAUCAGCUUGUUGGUGGGGUAGUGGCUUACCAAGGCAUUGACGGGUAGCCGGCCUGCGAGGGUGACCGGCCACAUGGGGACUGAGAUACGGCCCAGACUCUUACGGGAGGCAGCGGUGGGGAAUAUUGCACAAUGGGCGGAAGCCUGAUGCAGCAACGCCGCGUGCGGGAUGACGGCCUUCGGGUUGUAAACCGCUUUCGCCUGUGACGAAGCGUGAGUGACGGUAAUGGGUAAAGAAGCACCGGCUAACUACGUG